GACACGUAUCGAGUUGCAAUUUGAAGGAAGUGCCUUUGUCCUAUUUAUCUAACAAGUGCGGCAAUUUCCUUUCAUUUCUUCAGCUACGGCAGAGAAUCGUUACAAACCCUAGAAGCACGACACCAAAUUAUGUCAAAUCUGCCAUGGGACAUGCUCGCCGAAAUCCUCUGCCGGCUACCCGCCAAGAAACUUCUUUGCUUCAGGUGCGUAUCUAAACUAUGGCGAGCUUUAAUAGAUGGUCCCAAUUUCAUCAAUUUACAUCUCAAGCACUCCUUAGCUACGAGCUCUAAUCUACACAUCAUCGUUAAGAAUUCAGAGCUUUGCUCUGUAGAUUUCGAUUUGUUGGAUAACCUCAAACAACUGGAGCAUCCUUUGAUGUGCUAUAAUCAUAGCAUCAAAAUCUUGGGUUCCUGUAAUGGGUUGCUUUGCAUUUGCAAUGUUGUGGAUGAUAUUGCUCUUUGGAACCCAUCUAUUAGAAAGUACCAUGUUUUACCCUACUUAUCCAUCGAGCUCAAUCGCUAUUUUGGGACUUGUUCGUGUAGAGUUUGUGUCUUUGGACUUGGGUAUGAUCAAAAUAAGGAUGACUUUAAGGUGGUUAGGAUUGCACAGUUUACAGGAGUGGAUAAGAAAAGCAUCGAGUCUGAGGUCAAGGUUUAUAGUUUGAGAAGAAAUUCUUGGAGAAGGAUCGGAGAUAUGCCUUAUUUUGUUCUCUAUCCUGGAGCCAAUGGGAUGUUUGUCAGUGGCGCUUUGCAUUGGCUUGUGAGCCAAAGUCCUGAAUCAAAUGUUGCAGAUGUAAUUGUUGCUUUGGAUUUAGGGGUUGAGGAUUACAGGGAAGUGCCACAGCCUGAAGGUAUGGGUAAAAACUUUAAAAUGGAUAUGGGGAUUCUUCAUGGAUGCCUAUGUUUGCUUGGAAAUUUUCAGGGUCAGAAUACUGAUGUGUGGGUGAUGAAGAAGUAUGGGGUCAAGGAGUCCUGGACUAAAUCAUUUUCAAUUUCUCAGCAUGAAGUUAUUGGGAGUCUGAGACCCUUUAAACCUCUAGCAUAUUCAAGGAGUGGCAAUGCAGUUCUCAUGGAACACGACAACAUAAACCUUUUCUGGUAUGAUCCAAGCAAGAAGGAAGCGGAGAAUGUUUUGAUUCAGAAUAUGCCAAUUACCUUCGAAACAGAACUUUAUGUUGGAAGCCUCGUUCCAAUUAAUGCAAAUAGAUUUCUUCAAGAGAGCGCACAUGAGGAGACAAAUACUAAUAAUCGGAGGGAUGAUUUCUUGUCUAAGGGCUUCAAAUUACUAUUGUAAACCAAUUUAAGAAGAUCAAGUGAUGAAGCAGAAAAGAGGGCUGAAACUGGUGAACAGGUAUAUAUGUAGUUGAGCAUAUGAUUAAUUCUGAAGUAGAAGCAAAGAAGGGUUAAUGAUCUACGCUCUUAAGAUGUCUUCCUUUUGUUUAAUGAAAGCUAUCUGGUCAGGGUCUAAUGGAACUGAUAUUUGCAGAAAGUUUCCACAUUGCAAGGAAUUUGGAUAUUUUGGUUGAGAGCUCUCAAUGAUGUAAAUAAAAAUGGGUUGAUGUUUGUUCUCGUUGGUUGAUUGUUUACGAACUGCAAUUGGAAGGUUUUAUAUUACGGCCUAAGUGUGACGAUCACAGUUGGACUAUAAUCCUGAAUUUGUUCAGAAAAUUCAAGUAUCAAGCUGCAUGUGUAUAUUUCAUGAAAGUUGCUGCCUGUAAUAUUAGAUAGAAAGAAAGAAAGAAAGAUGUUCUGUGGAUAUGUUGUGAUGGAUACUUGGAUUGUAAAGAUAACACGUCAAGUUUCUGCCUGUAAUAUUAUCAAAUUGGUUUUUACUUUUACAAUGUCAGAAAAACAAUAUAUAUAUAUAUAUAUAUAUGUGAUUCGUCUAUGAAA
RNA transcript from Jatropha curcas, 1892 nucleotides. It is a transcript of the gene named F-box protein CPR1, with no coding region annotated. The record is from RefSeq and is a predicted model, not a curated record. Lineage: Eukaryota; Viridiplantae; Streptophyta; Magnoliopsida; Malpighiales; Euphorbiaceae.